CACAUGCAAGUCGAGGGGUAUUUAUCUUCGGAUAAUGAGACCGGCGCACGGGUGCGUAACGCGUAUGCAAUCUACCUUUCACAGAGGGAUAGCCCAGAGAAAUUUGGAUUAAUACCUCAUAGCAUAGCAGUCUCGCAUGAGACCACUAUUAAAGAUUUAUCGGUGAAAGAUGAGCAUGCGUCCCAUUAGCUAGUUGGUAUGGUAACGGCAUACCAAGGCUACGAUGGGUAGGGGUCCUGAGAGGGAGAUCCCCCACACUGGUACUGAGACACGGACCAGACUCCUACGGGAGGCAGCAGUGAGGAAUAUUGGACAAUGGGCGCAAGCCUGAUCCAGCCAUGCCGCGUGCAGGAUGACGGUCCUAUGGAUUGUAAACUGCUUUUAUACAGGAAGAAACACCUCUACGAGUAGAGACUUGACGGUACUGUAAGAAUAAGGAUCGGCUAACUCCGUGCCAGCAGCCGCGGUAAUACGGAGGAUCCAAGCGUUAUCCGGAAUCAUUGGGUUUAAAGGGUCCGUAGGCGGUUUAGUAAGUCAGUGGUGAAAGCCCAUCGCUCAACGGUGGAACGGCCAUUGAUACUGCUAGACUUGAAUUAUUAGGAAGUAACUAGAAUAUGUAGUGUAGCGGUGAAAUGCUUAGAGAUUACAUGGAAUACCAAUUGCGAAGGCAGGUUACUACUAAUAUAUUGACGCUGAUGGACGAAAGCGUGGGUAGCGAACAGGAUUAGAUACCCUGGUAGUCCACGCCGUAAACGAUGGAUACUAGCUGUUGGGAGCAAUCUCAGUGGCUAAGCGAAAGUGAUAAAGUAUCCCACCUGGGGAGUACGAACGCAAGUUUGAAACUCAAAGGAAUUGACGGGGGCCCGCACAAGCCGGUGGAGCAUGUGGGUUAAUUCGAUGAUACGCGAGGAACCUUACCAAGGCUUAAAUGUAGUUUGACCGGGUUGGAAACAAACUUUUCGCAAGACAAAUUACAAGGUGCUGCAUGGUUGUCGUCAGCUCGUGCCGUGAGGUGUCAGGUUAAGUCCUAUAACGAGCGCAACCCCUGUUGUUAGUUGCCAGCGAGUCAUGUCGGGAACUCUAACAAGACUGCCAGUGUAAACUGUGAGGAAGGUGGGGAUGACGUCAAAUCAUCACGGCCCUUACGCCUUGGGCUACACACGUGCUACAAUGGACGGUACAGAGAGCAGCCACUGGGCAACCAGGAGCGAAUCUACAAAACCGUUCUCAGUUCGGAUCGGAGUCUGCAACUCGACUCCGUGAAGCUGGAAUCGCUAGUAAUCGGAUAUCAGCCAUGAUCCGGUGAAUACGUUCCCGGGCCUUGUACACACCGCCCGUCAAGCCAUGGAAGCUGGGGGUGCCUGAAGUCGGUGACC
RNAcentral lists this ribosomal RNA (1376 nucleotides) under Flavobacterium sp. GOBB3-C101. Its description in RNAcentral is "16S ribosomal RNA". It matches the Rfam family "Bacterial small subunit ribosomal RNA". Lineage: Bacteria; Pseudomonadati; Bacteroidota; Flavobacteriia; Flavobacteriales; Flavobacteriaceae. The record is from RNAcentral.